AUACGGAGGAUCCGAGCGUUAUCCGGAUUUAUUGGGUUUAGAGGGUGCGUAGGUGGGCUGAUAAGUCAGUGGUGAAAGUUUGCAGCUUAACUGUAAAAUUGCCGUUGAAACUGUUGGUCUUGAGUGCAAAUGAGGUAGGCGGAAUGUGUUGUGUAGCGGUGAAAUGCUUAGAUAUGACACAGAACACCGAUUGCGAAGGCAGCUUACUGGGAUGCAACUGACACUGAUGCACGAAAGCGUGGGUAUCAAACAGGAUUAGAUACCCUGGUAGUCCACGCAGUAAACGAUGAAUACUAGUUGUCUGCGAUAUAUUGUAGGUGACACAGCGAAAGCGUUAAGUAUUCCACCUGGGGAGUACGUUCGCAAGAAUGAAACUCAAAUGAAUUGGCGGGG
This 393-nucleotide ribosomal RNA is filed under the name uncultured bacterium. RNAcentral describes it as "partial 16S ribosomal RNA". It matches the Rfam family "Bacterial small subunit ribosomal RNA", at positions 523 to 918 of the family's 1533-position model. The record is from RNAcentral.